This 491-nucleotide ribosomal RNA is filed under the name uncultured bacterium. Its description in RNAcentral is "partial 16S ribosomal RNA". It matches the Rfam family "Bacterial small subunit ribosomal RNA", at positions 29 to 506 of the family's 1533-position model. The record is from RNAcentral.
AGUGAACGCUGGCGGUAGGCCUAACACAUGCAAGUCGAACGGCAGCACAGUAAGAGCUUGCUCUUACGGGUGGCGAGUGGCGGACGGGUGAGGAAUACAUCGGAAUCUACUUUUUCGUGGGGGAUAACGUAGGGAAACUUACGCUAAUACCGCAUACGACCUACGGGUGAAAGCAGGGGAUCUUCGGACCUUGCGCGAUUGAAUGAGCCGAUGUCGGAUUAGCUAGUUGGCGGGGUAAAGGCCCACCAAGGCGACGAUCCGUAGCUGGUCUGAGAGGAUGAACGACCACAUGGGAAAUGAGACAGGGGCCAGACCCCUAGGGGGGGCCAAAGGGGGGAAUUUUGGAAAAGGGGGGCAAGCCUAACCCAACCAAACGGGGGGGGUGAAAAAGGCUUUCGGGUUGUAAAGCCUUUUUGUUGGGAAAAAAAAGAAGAGGGUUAAAACCCCGCUGUUGUGAGGGUACCAAAAAAAAAAGCACCGGAUAACUUCGU